RNAcentral lists this ribosomal RNA (305 nucleotides) under uncultured bacterium. RNAcentral describes it as "bacterial SSU rRNA". It matches the Rfam family "Bacterial small subunit ribosomal RNA", at positions 334 to 656 of the family's 1533-position model. The record is from RNAcentral.
CUUCCCUACGGGAGGCAGCAGUGGGGAAUAUUGGACAAUGGGGGAAACCCUGAUCCAGCGACGCCGCGUGAGUGAAGAAGUAUUUCGGUACGUAAAGCUCUAUCAGCAGGAAAGAAAAUGACGGUACCUGACUAAGAAGCCCCGGCUAACUACGUGCCAGCAGCCGCGGUAAUACGUAGGGGGCAAGCGUUAUCCGGAUUUACUGGGUGUAAAGGGAGCGCAGACGGCAGCGCAAGUCUGGAGUGAAAGCCCGGGGCCCAACCCCGGAACUGCUCUGGAAACUGUGCGACUAGAGUACUGGAGGG